GUUCCCAUCGAUUAGUGGUCAGAUCAUCACGUUGUGGUCGUAGGUGAAGCGAAGUACUUAACCGUGGAGACGGGGGCUCGACUCCCCCUGGGAACA
Non-coding RNA from Fomitopsis serialis, 96 nucleotides. The record is from the annotation of a RefSeq genome assembly. NCBI's taxonomy places the organism in Eukaryota, Fungi, Basidiomycota, Agaricomycetes, Polyporales, Fomitopsidaceae.